This 253-nucleotide ribosomal RNA is filed under the name uncultured bacterium. RNAcentral's name for it is "partial 16S ribosomal RNA". It matches the Rfam family "Bacterial small subunit ribosomal RNA", at positions 524 to 776 of the family's 1533-position model. The record is from RNAcentral.
UACGUAGGGUGCGAGCGUUAAUCGGAAUUACUGGGCGUAAAGCGUGCGCAGGCGGUUUUGUAAGCCAGAUGUGAAAUCCCCGGGCUUAACCUGGGAAUGGCAUUUGGGACUGCAAGGCUUGAGUGCGGCAGAGGAGACUGGAAUUCCUGGUGUAGCAGUGAAAUGCGUAGAUAUCAGGAGGAACAUCGAUGGCGAAGGCAGGUCUCUGGGCUGACACUGACGCUCAUGCACGAAAGCGUGGGGAGCAAACAGG